UGUCCUAGGCCGGGGUGGGAGUAUCAGGGGCUCCUGCUGGGAGGGGUACCAGGUAGGCAUCCCAGUCAUGCCUGUCUACCUCGGGAACGGCCGAGGGCGUACAGACAGGCGUGGCUGGACAGACAAGAGCAGAUCAGCAGUCAGACGUCCCGCACCCACGUCCAGGGGCAGCGGGGAAAGUGUGGCUAGCCGCACUCUUCCCUUCCCCCGCCUCCAGGAAGGCCUGCGCUGCUCUGCCCUUCCUUCCCCCUGUUCUUUGGCCUCCCUUUCCCCUCAGCUACAGACCUUUUCCCUUUUCCCUCCGCUGACUUAGCAGUGUGCCGCCGGGCGUGGAGGGAUUAAUCAGUGACAGGAAGCUGCCUCUUUUGGAGCAGUGACCGCUGUGGUCAGGAGAGCCUCUACCCGGCCAGCCCUAGGAGCCUGUCCCACUCCCUGCCUGCUGUCCACCCCCUGCUCCUGCCAUGGGGCACCUCAGGGCCCUCCUCUUCCUGCUGGGAGGCCUGGGAGCGCUCGCCCACAUCUGCGAGUGUUGAGUAAAGUUCCCUGUGCUAUACAAGAUAACCGAGGUGGACAGCACGCUGGUGGAGAGGCUGGGCCAGCGCCUCUUGCCCUGGAUGGACCGGCUCUCCCCGGAGCAGCUGAACCCCAGUAUCUACGUGGGCCUGCGCCUCUCGAGCCUGCAGGCUGGGGCCAAGGAGGCCCACUACCUGCACAGCCUCAAGCUUAGCUACCAGCAGAGCCUCCUGAGGCCCGCCUCCAGCAAGGACGGCAGUGACUCUGAGGCCAAGCCCUCCAUGGGCCAGCUGGCCCUCUACCUGCUGGCUCUCCGGGCCAACUGCGAGUUCGUCGGAGGCCACAAGGGGGACAGGCUGGUCUCCCAGCUGAAGCGGUUCCUGGAGGACGAGAAGGGGGCCAUCGGGCACAACCACCAGGGCCACCCCCGCACCAGCUACUACCAAUACGGCCUGGGCAUCCUGGCCCUGUGUGUCCACCAGAAGCGAGUCCAUGACAGCGUGGUGGGCAAGCUCCUGUACGCCGUGGAACACGAGCGGCAUCUGCUGCAGGACCGCGUCUCCGUGGACACCAUGGCCAUGGCAGGCAUGGCCUUCUCCUGUCUGGAACUGUCCAACCUCAACCCCAAUCAGAGAAACCGGAUCAACCUGGCCCUCAGGAGAGUGCAAGAGAAGAUCCUGAAGGCCCAGACCCCAGAGGGCUACUUCGGGAAUGUCUACAGCACCCCUCUGGCUUUGCAGUUGCUGAUGGGCUCCCUCAGGCCCACGGUGGAGCUGGGCACGGCCUGCCUCAAGGCCAAGGCGGCCCUGCAGGCCAGCCUACAGCACAAGACCUUCCAGAACCCUCUCAUGAUCUCUCAGCUGCUGCCCGUCCUGAACCAGAAGAGCUAUGUGGAUCUCAUCUCCCCAGACUGCCAGGCUCCAAGAGCCCUGUUGGAACCGGCUACAGAGAUCCUGCCACAGACCCACGUCCCGGAGUUCAUUGACGUCACGCUGGAGGUCUCUGGCAUCACCCCUUCUUACAGACACUCUGUCUCUGUCCCUGCCGGCUCCUCCCUGGAAGACGUCCUGAAGAACGCCCAGGAGCAUGGAAGAUUCAGGUAUAGAACACAGGCCUCCCUGUCAGGCCCCUUCCUGACCUCCGUGCUGGGGAAAAAGGCUGGGGAACGUGAGUUCUGGCAGGUUCUCCAAGCUCCUGACACCCCCUUGCAGCAAGCAUUCCUGAGCAUCAGCCCCGUCAUUGGACAAACUGUUAAGGAUCAUCUGUCCCCGCUCCUGCUAUCUGGGACUUCCAGUGGGCACUUGCCAUGUGCCAGGGGAUUGGACCAAGUGCUUUACAGAAGAAAUGGGAGCACCAGUCCUCUGAGAGGUUACAUAACCUGCCCAGAAUCACACCGUUGUGAGUGCAGAGCUGGGGCUUGAAUCCAGGAGUCGUGCUGGAGCCUGGACGGUGCCUCGUGAGUGAAGGCUGACUUCACUCGUGGCCCUGCUUCUCCCCAGACCUCCCCAAGCAGGUAUUGCUGACUACAGACCCAAGGAUGGAGAGACCAUUGAGCUGAGGCUGGUUGGCUGGUAGCCCCCCGGACUCACCCACCCCGCUGCCCCCCACACUUCCUGGUCCCCCGCCCUCCCUCCAGACACCGCGGUGAUGGGCACACGCCUGCUCCUGCUGCCUUCUCUUGCACACUCGUCCCUGGAUCCCACAGCCACCAGCCCCGCGGGGGUCCUAAACCACCGCCUAUCUGGAGCAGCGAGCUCGGCACCUCCCCCAGGAGGUCUGUCUGCCUGGGUCUGGUCCCACCUGGCCCCGCGGGGGUCCCGUGAAGGUUACUCACAGGCUGGAGGGCGUAAACGUCUUGGACUCCUCCCUGGCCGUUGGCCUGGUGAGUACCGCUCGCUCUGGAAUGGGGGUGCCUCGAGGACAGCCUUGCAGCCCUGACCCCAGCUCUCCACUCUGUCAUUGAGGCUGCGCCCCAGAGCCGGCUGCCUUGUAGCGGCUGGUGAGGGUCUCUGCAGAGCUCUCAGCCCACCUCCAAAAUGAUUAAAGAGCUGAUUGUGCACGUG
Molecule: RNA transcript, 2576 nt
Organism: Dama dama (fallow deer)
Lineage: Eukaryota; Metazoa; Chordata; Mammalia; Artiodactyla; Cervidae
Gene: TCN2
Gene name: transcobalamin 2
Exons: 12
Source: RefSeq, a predicted model, not a curated record